AGCCAAGUCAGCAUCAUGAAAAGGGCUGAAAGAAGCGACGAAUUUCUUUGCCAAAGAGUAAUUCGAUUUGCUUCUGUGUUUUCCUUUCAUCUCAAUUUUUCUCUCUCCCCUACAACUUUUUUGCUACUUUCA
This 132-nucleotide non-coding RNA is filed under the name Protocruzia adhaerens. Lineage: Eukaryota; Ciliophora; Spirotrichea. The record is from RNAcentral.